This 254-nucleotide ribosomal RNA is filed under the name uncultured bacterium. RNAcentral describes it as "partial 16S ribosomal RNA". It matches the Rfam family "Bacterial small subunit ribosomal RNA", at positions 524 to 776 of the family's 1533-position model. The record is from RNAcentral.
UACGUAGGGUGCGAGCGUUGUCCGGAAUUAUUGGGCGUAAAGGGCGCGUAGGCGGCUUGACAAGUCCCGGGUGAAAUCCCUCGGCUCAACCGAGGAACUGCCUUGGAAACUGUCUGGCUUGAGGCCGGGAGAGGGGUAGUGGAAUUCCCAGUGUAGCGGUGAAAUGCGUAGAUACUGGGAGGAACACCGGUGGCGAAGGCGGCUACCUGGACCGGUUCUGACGCUGAGGCGCGAAAGCGUGGGUAGCAAACAGG